Molecule: ribosomal RNA, 764 nt
Filed under: uncultured bacterium
Lineage: Bacteria
Description: bacterial SSU rRNA
Rfam family: Bacterial small subunit ribosomal RNA
Source: RNAcentral
CAUGUGAUUACCGGAGACAUCUUCGGAACAUCAAAGGUGGCGCAAGCUACCGCUUUUUGAGGAGCCCGCGGCCUAUCAGCUAGUUGGCGAGGUAACGGCUCNNCAAGGCUUUGACGGGUAGCUGGUCUGAGAGGACGACCAGUCACACUGGAACUGAGACACGGUCCAGACACCUACGGGUGGCAGCAGUCGAGAAUUUUUCUCAAUGGGGGCAACCCUGAAGGAGCGACGCCGCGUGGAGGAUGAAGGCUUUCGGGUUGUAAACUCCUGUCAUUUGAGAACAAGGUGCACAUGUUAACUGUAUGUGCAUUGAUAGUAUCAGAAGAGGAAGGGACGGCUAACUCUGUGCCAGCAGCCGCGGUAAUACAGAGGUCCCAAGCGUUGUUCGGAUUCAUUGGGCGUAAAGGGUGCGUAGGUGGCGCGCUAAGUCAGGUGUGAAAUCUCGGGGCUUAACUCCGAAACUGCAUUUGAUACUGGCGUGCUUGAGGACUGGAGAGGAGACUGGAAUUCACGGUGUAGCAGUGAAAUGCGUAGAGAUCGUGAGGAAGACCAGUGGCGAAGGCGGGUCUCUGGACAGUUCCUGACACUGAGGCACGAAGGCCAGGGGAGCAAACGGGAUUAGAUACCCCGGUAGUCCUGGCAGUAAACGGUGCACGUUUGGUGUGGGAGGAUUCGACCCCUUCUGUGCCGGAGCUAACGCGUUAAACGUGCCGCCUGGGGAGUACGGUCGCAAGAUUAAAACUCAAAGGAAUUGACGGAAUCGA